CCAAUAGUGUAUAUUAAAGUUGUUGCAGUUAAAAAGCUCGUAGUUGAAUUUCGGGAUCAUCAGGUCGGUCGUGCCUCUGGUAUGUACUUGCUUCGAUGGUCCCUCCUUCUUGAAGAACCGUAAUGCCAUUAAUUUGGUGUUGCGGGGAAACAGGACUGUUACUUUGAAAAAAUUAGAGUGUUUAAAGCAGGCAAUCGCUUGAAUACAUUAGCAUGGAAUAAUGAAAUAGGACGUUCGAUCCUAUUUUGUUGGUUUCUAGGAUUGACGUAAUGAUUAAUAGGGAUAGUUGGGGGCAUUAGUAUUCAAUUGUCAGAGGUGAAAUUCUUGGAUUUAUUGAAGACUGACUACUGCGAAAGCAUUUGCCAAGGAUGUUUUCAUUAAUCAAGAACGAAAGUUAGGGGAUCGAAGACGAUCAGAUACCGUCGUAGUCUUAACCAUAAACUAUGCCGACUAGGGAUCGGAUGAUGUUAAUUUUUUAAUGACUCAUUCGGCGCCUUACG
Molecule: ribosomal RNA, 500 nt
Filed under: uncultured Glomeromycotina
Lineage: Eukaryota; Fungi; Glomeromycota
Description: partial small subunit ribosomal RNA
Rfam family: Eukaryotic small subunit ribosomal RNA
Source: RNAcentral